Molecule: ribosomal RNA, 253 nt
Filed under: uncultured bacterium
Lineage: Bacteria
Description: partial 16S ribosomal RNA
Rfam family: Bacterial small subunit ribosomal RNA
Source: RNAcentral
UACGAAGGGGGCUAGCGUUGCUCGGAAUCACUGGGCGUAAAGGGUGCGUAGGCGGGUCUUUAAGUCAGGGGGGAAAUCCUGGAGCUCAACUCCAGAACUGCCUUUGAUACUGAAGAUCUUGAGUUCGGGAGAGGUGAGUGGAACUGCGAGUGUAGAGGUGAAAUUCGUAGAUAUUCGCAAGAACACCAGUGGCGAAGGCGGCUCACUGGCCCGAUACUGACGCUGAGGCUCGAAAGCUAGGGGAGCAAACGGG